This 319-nucleotide ribosomal RNA is filed under the name uncultured Coprococcus sp. RNAcentral describes it as "partial 16S ribosomal RNA". The record is from RNAcentral. Lineage: Bacteria; Bacillati; Bacillota; Clostridia; Lachnospirales; Lachnospiraceae.
GGAGUAUGAACCGUAUCUCAGUUCCAUUGUGGCUGUUCAUCCUCUCAGACCAGCUACUGAUCGUCGCCUUGGUGGGCUUUUACCUCACCAACCAGCUAAUCAGACGCGGGUCCAUCCUAUAGCGAUAAAUCUUUGACCCCUGUACGAUGCCGUACUGUGGUCUUAUGUGGUAUUAUCAGUCAUUUCUAACUGCUAUCCCACUCUAUAGGGCAGGGUUACCCACGCGUUACUCACCCGUCCGCCACUAAGUUUAGAAUCACUAGGUUUCAUCUAAACUCCGUUCGACUUGCAUGUGUUAGGCACGCCGCCAGCGUUCAUC